RNAcentral lists this small nucleolar RNA (144 nucleotides) under Leersia perrieri. RNAcentral describes it as "snoRNA snoR135". It matches the Rfam family "small nucleolar RNA snoR135". The record is from Rfam by way of RNAcentral. Lineage: Eukaryota; Viridiplantae; Streptophyta; Magnoliopsida; Poales; Poaceae.
CCUGCAGGAUAGUGUGUAUCGGCCUAAUGCUUUAAUGCUAUGCAUUUUUUGCCGAAAGUGUUUCCUGCUAUAUCGAUUAGAGGAAAGUGGGCAGUUGGGUUAAGCUUAUCUCUGCUUUCUCCAACAAUCAUUUUCCCCUCAUUA